CCAAUAGCGUAUAUUAAAGUUGCUGCAGUUAAAAAGCUCGCAGUUGAAUUUCGGGACCAUCAUGUCGGUCGUGCCUCGGUACGUACUGGCAUUGUUGGUUUCUCCCUUCUGAAGAACCAUGAUGUCAUUAAUUUGGUGUCUUGGGGAAUCAGGACUGUUACUUUGAAAAAAUUAGAGUGUUUAAAGCAGGCUCACGCUUGAUUACAUUAGCAUGGAAUAAUGAAAUAGGACGUUUGAUUCUAUUUUGUUGGUUUCUAGGAUCGACGUAAUGAUUAAUAGGGAUAGUUGGGGGCAUUAGUAUUCAAUUGUCAGAGGUGAAAUUCUUGGAUUUAUUGAAGACUAACUACUGCGAAAGCAUUUGCCAAGGAUGUUUUCAUUAAUCAAGAACGAAAGUUAGGGGAUCGAAGACGAUCAGAUACCGUCGUAGUCUUAACCAUAAACUAUGCCGACUAGGGAUCGGAUGAUGUUAAUUUUUUAAUGACUCAUUCGGCGCCUUACG
Molecule: ribosomal RNA, 499 nt
Filed under: uncultured Glomeromycotina
Lineage: Eukaryota; Fungi; Glomeromycota
Description: partial small subunit ribosomal RNA
Rfam family: Eukaryotic small subunit ribosomal RNA
Source: RNAcentral